This is a non-coding RNA of Callithrix jacchus (white-tufted-ear marmoset), 2889 nucleotides long. NCBI's taxonomy places the organism in Eukaryota, Metazoa, Chordata, Mammalia, Primates, Cebidae. The record is from RefSeq and is a predicted model, not a curated record.
GCCUUAAGUGAAAACAUUUAAUUAUUCACUGCAUUUAGGUUUAAAUAAGCUCCCAAUGGCCCAUUUUUUGGUUUCCUUCUUGGGAAAAAAAGUCUUCUGAAAGUUCUUUGUAUUAGUGGAAUUUUCUGCUUAAUAUUUCAUUUACAUUUGUCCUGAUUCUAUUGUUUUGCUCUUCUAUACCACCUAUGGUGAUGAAAGCCCAUUCGUUUUUAUUCACACUUCUAUUCUGUUUUAUAGGUUAUUUAAUACUGCAUAAUAAGGCAAUUAGGCCACAACCCAAUGCACUCUAAGUGUCAUGGGAAUGAUUCAAAAAAGACAAAAUAAACUUAAUGUAACAUAAAAAUGACUAGGCAGCGUAUUAAAAAAUCAGAUUCCUGAUAAACACUUUAGUGCCAUUAGAAUCCACUGAAAAUAGCCCAGCAAACUUAAUAUCCUCAGUGUCUUUCACAUUGUGUGAUUUUACCAGACUAGUCACAAAUGCAUUUUAAAAUAUUUUUAUAAGACGGAACCUCAAGUUUCCAUGCAUGUCCUAUUAGCUGUUUGUGUUGCACAGCCACUUGAAUAUAGUCAAUUCUGCCUAUAUACAAAGACAGACAAUGUUUGACCAAAACACAGGAAUGUCCUAGUGAAUUAGAAAAAUAAGAAGAAAAACUGAAGAUUCCUCCCAAUGCUUUUGCCUUCAUGUAAGCUUGCUUCUUGUUAUUCAAUCAGCCAGCUGAGUAGAUGCUAUGUCUUUUUAGUUCUCCUCAUUAUUCAAGCAUUCAGCAUAUUUUUUAAAAAGUGUGUCUCUUAUGCUAUAAUGUCUUGAUGUGUCCUCUACUAAGUUUUGGAAAUUGUUUUAAUAAGGACAUGGUACAUUAUGCUAACAUAACAAUUUGACCCCCAAAUAUCAGUGGAUUAACACAACAAAGCAUAUUUUUCUCAACCUACAUAUCUAAAAUUGGUCAGGCCAAUUUAAAUCUCUGCUCCACAAAGCUACUUGGGGUUUUAGAGGUUCCACAAUAAUGGUGGCAUCACCAUAAUGUGACAUUGCCAUUUCCCAAAAAUAAAACUGGCUACUGAGUAUGCUGUGUCAACAAAGGUAAAACAUGAACCUUCAUGCUCAUUUUCACUUCUAUUUAUUUGUCAUCAGAGUCUAGGAAAUUCAGGAAGAGGAAAAGAAGUGGUGAGCAGCAAGUACUGUGUUUCCAUCAGAAGUUAUUUCUAGGAGGCAAUACUGUGAACUAAAAAGAUCUCUAAACUUUGAGGCAAGAGAUCUGAUUUUGGACAAGUCACUUGGCUUUUCUGAGUCUGAAUAUGCAAAAUGAGAACUCUGUUUUUGUUGAGGUUGUUAAACAUUCCAUUCAAUAGCUGGAAAAGUGAAUUUCCUGUAGAAUGAUAGAAAUUACAUAGAAGCAAGCAAUUUUAUUUUCCUUAAAUGUAGCAUUAAUUUUAAUGUGUACAUAUAUAAACAGUGUAAUUUUAAAACCUUGAAGGUGACAUGCAUAUUUUAAGGUACAGGUGAAAUACAGAAGGAUGUUAGCCAUCUCUGAUUUUCAUUACCACUUUUUCUUUUCCAGUUCCUUCUGCAAAAGCACUGAGUCAGCAAACUUCACAUGGAAUGCUAAAGUGAAAGGUGAACUUCUAAAGUCUGUACUUCUACAUAUAACAAACAAAAUGGAAACGACUUUCUAGAGCAGUUUGGUAGGCACUAGAGUCAUAUGGCUGAGCUUUCAAGCUCAAAAUGAAAUCAGGGAUUCAUUUUCUAAAAAACUAAAGGAGAUCAUGUUUGUAACUGUGCCCUAUUUAUGUUUCAUAGUUGCUACCCAUGUGAUAACUUCCACCAGUCUUUUUAUUUGGUAUAGUUUCUGAAUAUAUGCUGUUCAAUGGAGUUAUAUGUACUUAAGGUGUGGUGAGAUGCAGAAGAAAGGACUGAGAAAAUCACUCUUCUGUGAAGUCUGAGUCCAUGCUCCUCUUCCACUAUUCUUAUGGCCUUUUCUCUGCCAUUGAGGCAGACACAGCUGAUGCAGAAUGUCAAAUGCUUUCAUCAUUCAAAGGCCCGGGGAUGCAGACCAAGGUUGCUUUCUGGUUUGGGUUAUUAUUAGCAUAAGAGCAGAGAAGAUAUGCAAGAAUUUCUCUAAAGUAUCUUCCUAGAAGUGGAACGGCUGGGUAACAAGUUUCCCCUCUAACAGGUACCUCUGCUGUAGGACUGCUGGAGGUCCACUUUAGACUCUGGUUGCCUGGGAAUCACCAGUGGGGGUUGCAGAUAAAUAGCAUUUCACUCUUGUUGCCCAGGCUGGAGUACAAUGGCACGAUCUCAGCUCACUGCAACCUCCACCUCCCAGGUCAAAGCAAUUCUCCUGCCUCAACCUCCCACCAAGAAUCUUUCUAAAAUCGGAAAUAAAGACUUACAUUGCAGCACUUCAACACCAAAGAAAACUUUUCUAGCAUUGAGUAGAUUUAUGGUUCCUUACAAUUAAAACUUAUUUGUUGUAAAUAAGAGAGCUAAAAUGAUUAUGAUAAAUGACACGCAGACAUGUUACAAAAACAGAAUAAACUUAUAUUCAAGCAAUAUUGUACCUAUUAUAAAACUAAGUCCAAAAGGAGUUGUAUUUGGGAUAAUCUGAAACCUCAGAAAUAUUGUUUACAUGGUAAAGCCAAAAGGGGCAAUUAACUAACAUUCCCUGAGUGCCUACAUUGUAGCAGAAGGGUGGUAAGCAUUUUGCAUCAGUUAUCUCAUUUAAUCCUAAAAUACAAAAGAAUCACCAUAACUUCACUAGUUUGUUUUUCUGACUUAAUCUUUAAAACAUUAGCUUAUAUUUUUAAAUAUGAUCAAGCAUUCUUAACAUUUAAGCCACAAGCAAAUUUGAUGAAAAUGUCAUAGCAAAAGGCCAUCCUAUAAUUAUAACU